Long non-coding RNA from Ictalurus punctatus (channel catfish), 1587 nucleotides. Lineage: Eukaryota; Metazoa; Chordata; Actinopteri; Siluriformes; Ictaluridae. The record is from Ensembl.
GUUUGGGGGAACAGAGGCCAUGUGCAUUCCAGAAGAUGGAUCCAUUUUGCAAAGUCUCUUCUGAAACAGAGUUUUGCUUAGUUUCAACAAAAUAGUUUUAAUAAUUUCUUGUCUCUUCUUGCAAAAUUACAGUAACUAGAACAGUCAUUUGGAGGGCUUUUGCUGCAAUGUGAUAUCAAAACGAGUGUCUGGUUCCCCCAUAAAACACUAGAAAUAAGAAAGAAAAAAAAACGUUAGUUUUACUACAUUGUCACAUCUUUAUAACUCACUUUCACUUAUUUCAAAAUAACCAACUACAGUACAGUGUUAACCGCAAGAGCAAAUGACUACCGUCACUGCAUGCGCUUACGUGAACUCUGGAGUAGGCGCAUGCGAUUACAAAAAUUCUUCCUUCAGCAGCGUCGUCUGUGCGCCGAAUCAAUUUUGGAGUCGACUCUUGAUUCGCCUAGACUCAGAGAAUCAGUUCUUUAUGGGAGCGACUCCCAGGUCUACAUAUAAUUAGGCUUGAGGGCUUUCGGUAACUAGGGAAAUACUGAAACCCGACCUGUCUAUUAAACCAGUUCCCUUAGAGGAAACACAGUAGCUAGAGUGCUACAUAUGACAGCCUGCUAAACAAACCUAGAUAUUUUUUUCCAAGUACAAAAAUAGCUCACUCAGCAAUGCAAGGCCACAGGGGCACAUUUUAAAGAGACGGAUAAUCCACUUGUUUUUAUGAACACUGCCCAAGCAGGCCAAAGCCUCUUGCAGGGAAGGGGGGUCAUGUUGAAACGUAAUAUGGCUGGGUUUCCUAUCAACCACACAAUCCCGCAUUACUUAUGAUUUACACCGCUAGGCUUGAAUCGGAUGAAAGUUACCGACGGUAUUCUUACUCACCGCGCUACUGUUAUAGUCCUAUUUAAACGGCACUGAUCCUGGAACAGUCCAUGGCGAACCGACCGAAGGCCUCCUUCUUCCUCGAUGCUGUUUCGGCGGGUUGCAAAUCAGCAGACAGACCACUGUCGCCAUAGCUUUUUGAUCUCGAGUGCUCAUUGGUCGAUGUUACUGUCAAUCAAGGGCCACUCGUACGUUGUGUUGUUGAUUCCAAUGUCAAUCAUUGCGUCAUUAUAAAAUGGGCGGAACAUCCGGAGCUUUGCCUGGUCCGACAACAAAGACAGAGGAGCGAUUUAAUGGUUUUAGCUUCAUCAAAUUGUUAUGAAUUGUAUUGUAUCCGUAUUAUUUAGCUUUACACCUCGCUAAAUAAUGAUUGAAUUAAGGUUAUAUUUUAAUUACGAUUAUAUUCCAAACAUUAAAGCUCAAUGCAGGGUCAGGUGUAGAUUUGCUAGAAAAGCAUAAAUGAAGACUACUUCAGCAGUCUGGAAACGCACUGUGUUUGGCAGACUGAUAAACAGCCCACCCCACUUGAAACACUAUCACACAACAACAUUCAGAGCCCCUGCGGCUGCUGAUGAUAAAUGAUCUGCCUCUCAACUGCCUCCACGUUCGGAACAGAUAAGGAUAAUGAAAGCUAUGGCACAAACUUCAUACUUAGGAGUUUGUAGAUUUUAAAGGGUUCUGAUUUAAAAAGAAACAUUCACUCAAAUUUUUACA